RNAcentral lists this long non-coding RNA (1233 nucleotides) under Fukomys damarensis (Damara mole-rat). RNAcentral's name for it is "lncRNA (ENSFDAG00000032171.1)". The record is from RNAcentral. Lineage: Eukaryota; Metazoa; Chordata; Mammalia; Rodentia; Bathyergidae.
GGCUGCCCACUUCCAAGCCGCUUCACGCGAAGCCUCCUGGGAACUGUAGUUUUGCCCAAACAGGCUGGGAGCCGAAACGAGCCAGGCGCGCGGGGGCUGCCGGGAGCCGUAGGCGCACCACCGCACUACCCUCUGGAAAUGGUAGUUCACUGGUUGCCUCCGUAUAGCUCCAGUCUCUAGAGCACUUCCGCAGCCCCCAGGGACGUGAGAGGAGGCGUGUUUUGUGCAGAUUCUAACCUGCAAGCCGCGCUCCUCCACCUACCUGGGCGGUUUCUCCUUUCUCCGGGUCCUGUGUGCCUCCUCCCUUCACUCGGCGGGCCGUCUCCUCUUUCCCGCGCGGCGCGAGUCACUUACCCCGGGGGCGCGAAGCUCGAGAGAGGGAGAAGCGAAGCUUCGCGCUCGACCUCACCCCCCACGAAGGGGGCAGUGGAGAAGGGCGUUGAUGCGCGCUCGCGCUCGCGCGCACGUCGCCAGGAAUGGGGGCCAAUUUGUUGCGGGCCCCCACGGGACCUUUUUUUUUUUACCUUUGGAACGCGUGCAUGGACUUGAGCGGUUUAUCGCGGCUGGCGCGCCAGUACGCACGCGCGCCCACUCCUGUCCUCACAGUUAGUCUGCUGAGUGCUCCGUUGCGCAGCUCCCCGCUGUGUCUGCCGUCUCCUUGCUCAGCAUCGGCGAGAUAGCUCUCCGAAGCGCUCUCUAGGUCUGUUCGCCUACCUAGGCGUUCCUGGGUGUCACCAAACACGCCGUGCCGCCCCUUGUCCGGAGCCCCGUUGCAGGUGUUUAAGCAACGGUCCUGAGGAGAACCCGAGGAAAAUCAAGGUGAUGUCUUCCACCAGACUCGUUCCCACCUGGAAGGAUUUUAACAAUCUCAUAAAUGACAUCAUACAUGAAAACAAGGAAUCUUCAGAUGACUCAAAGAAUGAUACUGUUGUGCUGAGUGACAGGUCCAAGAUACUGUUCAAAGAAUCUCACUAUCCUCAAAAUAUGCCACUCAUCUGCCAUUACUUCUGUGAUGCCUACUUCUUCGCCUCCCUCUCCUGGGUGACGCCCCACUCAAAAGAAAUACAAGUAAGACUUUCUUUCCCUUCCUAGCCCACUUUCCACGGACCAAACCCACACAGCUCUCAAACCAAACUGACAAAGGAAUACGCACCCCAUGAAUGAAUGUGACCUGGAUCCAGGAAGCCUCCCACCAUACUUUCCCUGGUUACUGUUUCCAUAUUGAGCACGCUU